RNAcentral lists this ribosomal RNA (253 nucleotides) under uncultured prokaryote. RNAcentral's name for it is "partial 16S ribosomal RNA". It matches the Rfam family "Bacterial small subunit ribosomal RNA", at positions 524 to 776 of the family's 1533-position model. The record is from RNAcentral.
UACAGAGGGUGCGAGCGUUAAUCGGAAUUACUGGGCGUAAAGCGCGCGUAGGCGGCUUGUUAAGUCGGAUGUGAAAUCCCUGGGCUCAACCUAGGCAUUGCAUUCGAUACUGGCAAGCUAGAGUAUGGGAGAGGAAGGUAGAAUUCCAGGUGUAGCGGUGAAAUGCGUAGAGAUCUGGAGGAACACCAGUGGCGAAGGCGGCUUCCUGGCCUGUAACUGACGCUGAGACGCGAAAGCGUGGGGAGCGAACCGG